AGAUUGAACGCUGGCGGCAUGCCUUACACAUGCAAGUCGAACGGCAGCACGGGAGCAAUCCUGGUGGCGAGUGGCGAACGGGUGAGUAAUACAUCGGAACGUGCCCAAUCGUGGGGGAUAACGCAGCGAAAGCUGUGCUAAUACCGCAUAAGAUCUACGGAUGAAAGCAGGGGAUCGCAGGACCUUGCGCGAAUGGAGCGGCCGAUGGCAGAUUAGGUAGUUGGUGAGGUAAAGGCUCACCAAGCCUUCGAUCUGUAGCUGGUCUGAGAGGACGACCAGCCACACUGGGACUGAGACACGGGCCCAGACUCCGU
Molecule: ribosomal RNA, 314 nt
Filed under: uncultured soil bacterium
Lineage: Bacteria
Description: bacterial SSU rRNA
Rfam family: Bacterial small subunit ribosomal RNA
Source: RNAcentral